This 411-nucleotide ribosomal RNA is filed under the name uncultured microorganism. RNAcentral describes it as "bacterial SSU rRNA". It matches the Rfam family "Bacterial small subunit ribosomal RNA", at positions 9 to 416 of the family's 1533-position model. The record is from RNAcentral.
GAGUUUGAUCGUGGCUCAGAUUGAACGCUGGCGGCAUGCCUUACACAUGCAAGUCGAACGGCAGCAUGAUCUAGCUUGCUAGAUUGAUGGCGAGUGGCGAACGGGUGAGUAAUACAUCGGAACGUGCCCUGUAGUGGGGGAUAACUAGUCGAAAGAUUAGCUAAUACCGCAUACGACCUGAGGGUGAAAGUGGGGGACCACAAGGCCUCAUGCUAUAGGAGCGGCCGAUGUCUGAUUAGCUAGUUGGUGGGGUAAAGGCCCACCAAGGCGACGAUCAGUAGCUGGUCUGAGAGGACGAUCAGCCACACUGGGACUGAGACACGGCCCAGACUCCUACGGGAGGCAGCAGUGGGGAAUUUUGGACAAUGGGCGAAAGCCUGAUCCAGCAAUGCCGCGUGUGUGAAGAAGGCC